UACAGAGGUGGCUAGCGUUGUUCGGAAUUACUGGGCGUAAAGGGCGCGUAGGCGGCCCUUCAAGUCCCGCGUGAAAUCCCCCGGCUUAACCGGGGAACUGCGCGGGAAACUGUAGGGCUUGAGUUUGGGAGAGGGAAGCGGAAUUCCGGGUGUAGCGGUGAAAUGCGUAGAUAUCCGGAGGAACACCGGUGGCGAAGGCGGCUUCCUGGACCAACACUGACGCUGAGGCGCGAAAGCUAGGGGAGCAAACGGG
This 253-nucleotide ribosomal RNA is filed under the name uncultured bacterium. Its description in RNAcentral is "partial 16S ribosomal RNA". It matches the Rfam family "Bacterial small subunit ribosomal RNA", at positions 524 to 776 of the family's 1533-position model. The record is from RNAcentral.